This 483-nucleotide ribosomal RNA is filed under the name uncultured bacterium. RNAcentral's name for it is "partial 16S ribosomal RNA". It matches the Rfam family "Bacterial small subunit ribosomal RNA", at positions 29 to 506 of the family's 1533-position model. The record is from RNAcentral.
AUUGAACGCUGGCGGCAUGCCUUACACAUGCAAGUCGAACGGCAGCACGGGAGCAAUCCUGGUGGCGAGUGGCGAACGGGUGAGUAAUACAUCGGAACGUGCCCAGUAGUGGGGGAUAACCCGGCGAAAGCCGGACUAAUACCGCAUACGACCUACGGGUGAAAGCGGGGGAUCGCAAGACCUCGCGCUAUCGGAGCGGCCGAUGUCAGAUUAGCUAGUUGGUGGGGUAAAGGCCUACCAAGGCGACGAUCUGUAGCUGGUCUGAGAGGACGACCAGCCACACUGGGACUGAGACACGGCCCAGACUCCUACGGGAGGCAGCAGUGGGGAAUUUUGGACAAUGGGCGCAAGCCUGAUCCAGCUAUGCCGCGUGCGGGAAGAAGGCCUUCGGGUUGUAAACCGCUUUUGUCAGGGAAGAAACGCUCCGGGCUAAUACCACGGAGUAAUGACGGUACCUGAAGAAUAAGCACCGGCUAACUACGU